Non-coding RNA from Ostertagia ostertagi, 102 nucleotides. Lineage: Eukaryota; Metazoa; Nematoda; Chromadorea; Rhabditida; Trichostrongylidae. The record is from the annotation of a GenBank genome assembly.
UUUCAUUCCUGAACAUAUAGCAAAAUUGGAUCAAUACAGAAUAGAUUAGCAUGGCCUUUGCGUAAAGAUGACACGCAAAUUCGUGAAGCGUUCCAAAAUUUU